Molecule: long non-coding RNA, 3418 nt
Organism: Oreochromis aureus
Lineage: Eukaryota; Metazoa; Chordata; Actinopteri; Cichliformes; Cichlidae
Source: Ensembl
UCCUCUCAGUCUACAAGGUGGAGGUGGAUUCAGGGGUGGAGUCUGUCCUGCUCCCCUGCAAAACUGUAGCUCAUCUGCCAGAAGACGUUAAAGUGGAGUGGAUGGACAGUGAUGACAAGAAGGUCCACGUGUAUCAGAGCAGCUCAGACCACUCGGAUGAAAAGCACCAGGUUUACAGAAACCGAACAGAAAUGAAGAGAAACCUGCUGAGAACUGGAGACCUCAGUCUGACCCUGAAACACCCAACAAAUGAAGACAACUCCACCUACACCUGCACCGUCUACAACAGGGAGGGAAACAUCCUGCUGCAGAAAGAUGUUCUCCUCGCUGUCAGAGUCCCCCAGGUGGAGGUGGAUUCAGGGGUGGAGUCUGUACAGCUGCCCCUUAAAACCACACUUCACCUGCCUGAAGACGCUAAAAUAGAGUGGAAGGACAGUGACGAUGAUCAUCUCCACGUUUAUGAGAAACGCUUUGAUCAGCUUGAACAACAGGACCAGGUUUACAAAGACCGAACGAAGAUGAAUGAAGACCUGCUGAGAACUGGAGACCUCAGUCUGACCCUGAAACACCCCACGGAUGGAGACAACAGGACCUACACCUGCACCGUCUACAGCAGGGAGGGAAACAUCCUGCUAAGGAAAAAAUUGGAGCUUAAAGUCAAAGUCCCCCAGGUGGAGGUGGAUUCAGGGAUGGAGUCUGUCCAGCUGCCCUUCAACACCACACUUCAUCUGCCUGAAGACGCUAAAGUGGAGUGGAUGGACAGUUCCAACUACAGGAAGGUCCACGUGUAUGAGAACGGCUCUGACCAGCCUGAAGAACAGGAUCAGGUUUACAGAGACCGAACGAAGAUGAAGGAAGACCUGCUGAAAACUGGCGACCUCAGUCUGACCCUGAAAUACCCCACAGAUGAAAACAACUACACCUACACCUGCACCGUCUAUGCCAAAGAUCAAACCAUUCUGCUGAAGAAACAAGUGGAGCUGAAAGUCAGAGUCCCCCAGGUGGAGGUGGAGGAGGGGGUGGAGUCUGUCCAGCUGCCCUUCAAAACCACACUUCACCUGCCUGAAGAUGCUAAAGUGGAGUGGAAAGACAGUUGCACAAUCCUCAGUAGUGAGUACCAAAGUAGACCAAACAACAGGAAGGUCCACGUGUAUGAGAACAGCUGUGACGAUCCUGAAGAACAGGACCAGGUUUACAGAGACCGAACAAAGACGAAUGAAGACCUGCUGAAAACUGGAGACCUCAGUCUGACCCUGAAAUACCCCACAAACUAUGACAACUUCACCUACACCUGCACCGUCUACAGCGUGGAGGGAAACAUCCUGAUAUUGAAACAAAUGGGGCUGAAAGUCAGAGUCUGUCAGGUGGAGGUGGAGGAGGGGGCGGAGUCUGUCCAGCUGCCCUUCAAAACUACAGAAAACCUGCCUGAAGAUGCUGGAGUGAGGUGGGAGGACAGUUCUUACAGAGCAGUUCACGUGUAUAAGAACGGCUCUGACCAGCCUCACAAACAGCACCAGGUUUACAGAGACCGAACGAAGAUGAAUGAAGACCUGCUGAACUCUGGAGACCUCAGUCUGACCCUGAAAUACCCCACAGAUGGAGACAGUAGGAGAUACAACUGUAGAGUCUGGAGAAAUGGAUGGAUCCGAAACAAAACAGUGCUGCUGAAAGUCAAAGGGAGAGUUCAGGUCCAGGAUCAAACAGGGGACAUCAGGAACAGAAGCAGCUCCAUUGAUCCGACUCCUCUGAUGGCUGAUCAAUCAGUUUGAUCUGUGUGUUCUUUGAUUAUUGAUCAGUGAUGUCAGAGUGGAGUCAGUGUGAUGUUGUUGUUGUGUGUUUGAGACUUUUAGUGUCCAUGAAGGUCUCUGCUGCCGUAGAUCCUCUGAACUGUGACAGAGGUCUCACUCUGGAGGAAACUCUCAGCACUUUCCAGCAGCUCCUCCAUCAUGGAGGACGUUCCCUCACUGUAACAGGUGGAGGAGAGGAAGCACAGGUGGAUCCUCUGAGGAAGAGGAGCGUUCCUACAAACCACAUGAUCACAUGACCAGAGGGGCGUGGCCUUCAGUGGUAGUGACAAAGGAACAGUCCACAUGUUCCACUUUGAAGGCUCAUCUUCAACAAAGCAGACCUGUGAUCACUUUAACUCAGUAUGAUGGAUUGUUUGGAUUUGUCUUUGUUUCUCUGGCUUUUCUUGUGUGUCUGUGUGUCUUUGUGUGUUGGAUAGAGUCAUGUGACCUGCCCAGGGACGACACAUGAGCAGCUCAAAUCUGGCAGGUUUCCAUCUCCUGUUUUUAUCCUGAUGUCCAUGAACAUGAACUCUGUCCUUGUCAAAUGAAUCCAGAUAAUCUGAUCCAGUGUUAUUCUUCUUCUGUGGUGUUUGUGAUGGAGCAGCAGCUCCUGAUCCUGAUGUCCUCAGCCAAGGGGCAAUAAAAUCAACUGACUUUCAUAAUUUAUUAAAAAAAAAAAAAGUAUGCUAGCAAUGUAACAUAAUGCAAUAUAAUAAUGUAAGUUACACAUUGUGGUUUGCACUGUUGCCAGAAUGGACAUUACCUCUUGCCUAAUGGAAGUUGUCAGCCAUCCUGCAACCAUGAAUUAGAUCAGCAGAAGUGAAGGGAUUGUUAAUAACGAUUUAAUAAUAAAAUGUAAUGUGAUAAUUUCACUUUAUUGUCUUCCCACGAUCGGUAUGCAUGGCAUGCUCAUAGCAAGUUUUUUUUAGGUUUAAAGUGAGAUCCUGCUUUAAAGGGCGCUUCAUCUGCUGGUAAUGACAUAUUUUUUCUAGUAUGUAAGGCACAGCCGAUCUUACUGGGACUUACUUUUGUAGAUCCAUAUGCUCUAAACCUGGUGCUUCAAUGAUUGGUGCAGAAGCUUUAAGCUACUAUUAACAAAUAAUAACCAUGGGAUUAGUUGUUACUACAAUAACUUAUCAUUGGUCAACUUGUAUAUUUAAUUUUACUUGUACUUGUAAAACUAUGCAAGUAGAAUUCAAUGGGGCAGAGUGACCUGAGCACAGGCCCACUCUGUGACACUCAGAGGUUUGUGGAUAUCAUCUGCAGGCGCACAUACUGGGAGUAUUGAACACAGUGCAUGUACAGCCAGCUUGCAGCCACUUUCCCACCACUUUAGGGCAAUGUUUACAGUAGACUCAGCCACACUAAUUUUCCUGGGGCAGACAUGUGGUGCAGCAUGGCUGAUGGCACUGUACCUGUAGCUGUCAUGAACAAGAACCACUCAACUACCUCACCCAAGCCAAGACUGUGCUGAUGUUGUGAUCUGAGACCAAGACACUAACCCAGGAUCAUGAUAUGAUGUUUUGAGAGUGGGUGGAUGAGCCGAUUCCACCUUAAAUAGGUGUAAAUAUGUAUCAUAUGUAAAUAACUGUUCACAACAACACAUGUUCUAUGAAGUUCCACAUUAAAAU